GAAGAACUAAUUGGUUCAUUGAUCACAUUUGAAAUGACGUGCAAUGCAUGUGAAGAACUUGAGAACCACCUUCCAAAGAACAGGAAGGAUUUGGGACAUAGAACAUUUGAAGACCACUCGAGCAUAAGCUCAAGUGAUGGUGAACUUAAACUACAAAUGAAACAAAAAUUAAAAAGUAAAAAGAACGGAACUACUUGCUUUGAACGCAAGAAGAAGAACAAAAACUGGGAUGAAUCGAGCUCCUCCGAAGACGAGGAGAAAAUCAACAAAGGCGAGGUGGCAAACUACGCCUUU
This 294-nucleotide long non-coding RNA is filed under the name Musa acuminata (dwarf banana). Its description in RNAcentral is "long non-coding RNA (MACU_LNC010519)". The record is from RNAcentral. Lineage: Eukaryota; Viridiplantae; Streptophyta; Magnoliopsida; Zingiberales; Musaceae.